GGCUACGUAGCUCAGUUGGUUAGAGCACAUCACUCAUAAUGAUCGGCUCACAGGUUCGAAUCCCGUCGUAGCCACCA
Molecule: transfer RNA, 77 nt
Filed under: Escherichia coli
Lineage: Bacteria; Pseudomonadati; Pseudomonadota; Gammaproteobacteria; Enterobacterales; Enterobacteriaceae
Description: tRNA-Met
Rfam family: tRNA
About the family: Transfer RNA (tRNA) molecules are approximately 80 nucleotides in length.
Source: RNAcentral